RNAcentral lists this ribosomal RNA (253 nucleotides) under uncultured bacterium. RNAcentral's name for it is "partial 16S ribosomal RNA". It matches the Rfam family "Bacterial small subunit ribosomal RNA", at positions 524 to 776 of the family's 1533-position model. The record is from RNAcentral.
UACGGAGGGUGCGAGCGUUGUCCGGAAUCAUUGGGCGUAAAGGGCGCGUAGGUGGCGGGAUAAGCGUGCGGUGAAAGCUCGGGGCUCAACCCCGAGUCGGCCGUGCGAACUAUCCUGCUUGAGCACUGUAGAGGCAGGCGGAAUUCCGGGUGUAGCGGUGGAAUGCGUAGAGAUCCGGAAGAACACCGGUGGCGAAGGCGGCCUGCUGGGCAGUAGCUGACACUGAGGCGCGACAGCGUGGGGAGCGAACAGG